Non-coding RNA from Pelobates cultripes (western spadefoot toad), 217 nucleotides. The record is from the annotation of a GenBank genome assembly. Lineage: Eukaryota; Metazoa; Chordata; Amphibia; Anura; Pelobatidae.
UACGAACUGACAUUUUACAAGCAACAUACAUUCCUUAAAACAGAGCUUGGAGGCAGGAUAUUUAUUUUAACAGAAAGACUUCUCAUUGUCAAACUGCAUAGCUUUACAAUCCUUGCACAAUUACAGAACACACACCCUACUGCCCAAAUCUCUGUAAUCCAAAUACUCACCUUUAACUCAACUAUAGAUCUGACAAAAUACUCUGUACCAUUCAACA